This 345-nucleotide ribosomal RNA is filed under the name Xenokrohnia sorbei. RNAcentral describes it as "eukaryotic LSU rRNA". The record is from RNAcentral. Lineage: Eukaryota; Metazoa; Chaetognatha; Sagittoidea; Monophragmophora; Heterokrohniidae.
UGAGGGAAAGCUGCAAAGUACUCUGAAGAGAGAGUUCAAAAGGACGUGAAGCCGUCUGCAGGGAAACGGGUGAGACCGCACGGUAGACCCGCGGCGGAUUCAGCUCAGAGGGUCGGGGGUGCUGGCGGUUUUGAACGGGGCCUCGGUCUCGUCUCUGGCUGUCGGUGUCUCUCUCCGUCCUUCCGGGUGCACUUCCGCGCCAGUGGGUCGCGCAGGGCCCGACUCUACGGCCGUCUGAAGCCCGGCGAGGAGGUGACGGGGUCUUUACGGAUCCCGAGUUUAACUCGUCGGCGCGGAGACCGGCUGCGGGGUCGAGGAACGUCUGUCCGUCGCAAGGCGCGUGGG